GUCGGUCAUCAUCACCCUGAAUAAGCCUCAUCUUGUCAGUUCUUCAAAGCUAAGCAGGUGUGAGCCUGGUCAGUGCAGGACUUGGAUGGGAGACUGCCUGCCAACACCAGGCGUUGUCGACU
This 122-nucleotide ribosomal RNA is filed under the name Petromyzon marinus (sea lamprey). The record is from RNAcentral. Lineage: Eukaryota; Metazoa; Chordata; Hyperoartia; Petromyzontiformes; Petromyzontidae.